RNAcentral lists this ribosomal RNA (440 nucleotides) under uncultured bacterium. RNAcentral describes it as "partial 16S ribosomal RNA". It matches the Rfam family "Bacterial small subunit ribosomal RNA", at positions 338 to 795 of the family's 1533-position model. The record is from RNAcentral.
CCUACGGGAGGCAGCAGUGGGGAAUAUUGCACAAUGGGCGAAACUCUGAUGCAGCGACGCCGCGUGAGCGAUGAAGGCUUUCGGUAUGUAAAGCUCCAUUAGUAGGGGAGAAAAUGACGGUACCUGACUAAGAAUGCACGUCUAACUACGUUCCAGCAGCGGUGGUACUACGUAGGCGGCAGACGUUAUCCGGAUUCACUGGGUGUUAAGGGGACGUAGACGGUUCUGCAAGCCAGCUGUGAAAGCCCGGGGCUCAACCCCGGAACUGCAUUUGAAACUGUAAGGCUAGAGUGUCGGAGAGGUAGGCGGAAUUCGUAGUGUAGCGGUGAAAUGCGUAGAUAUUAGGAAGAACACCGAUGGCGAAGGCAGCCUGCUGAACGAUGACUGACGUUGAGGCUCGAAAGCGUGGGGAGCAAACAGGAUUAGAUACCCUGGUAGUC